AUUCUAAUAGUUUCAAAACAUUAAAUUGCAAAUUUAAAAUAAUAACUAUAAAAUC
Molecule: transfer RNA, 55 nt
Filed under: Lycosa singoriensis
Lineage: Eukaryota; Metazoa; Arthropoda; Arachnida; Araneae; Lycosidae
Description: tRNA-Cys
Source: RNAcentral